This 858-nucleotide ribosomal RNA is filed under the name uncultured Verrucomicrobiota bacterium. RNAcentral describes it as "bacterial SSU rRNA". It matches the Rfam family "Bacterial small subunit ribosomal RNA", at positions 68 to 902 of the family's 1533-position model. The record is from RNAcentral. Lineage: Bacteria; Pseudomonadati; Verrucomicrobiota.
AUUACGGGGUAGCAAUAUUCCGUAGUCGGAGCGGCGCAAGGGUGCGUAACACGUGGGUAAUCUGCCAUGAAGUCUGGAAUAACUUGCUGAAAGGCGAGCUAAUACCGGAUGUGAAAAUUGGGAGGCAUCUUCUGAUUUUCAAAGUUGGGGACCGUAAGGCCUGACGCUUCAUGAUGAGCCCGCGGCCUAUCAGCUAGUUGGUGAGGUAACGGCUCACCAAGGCAAAGACGGGUAGCUGGUCUGAGAGGACGACCAGCCACACUGGAACUGAGACACGGUCCAGACACCUACGGGUGGCAGCAGUCGAGAAUUUUUCACAAUGGGCGAAAGCCUGAUGGAGCGACGCCGCGUGGGGGAUGAAUGGCUUCGGCCCGUAAACCCCUGUCAUUCGCGAACAAAUUGGUUCAUUUAAUACCUGAACCAUUGAUAGUAGCGGAAGAGGAAGGGACGGCUAACUCUGUGCCAGCAGCCGCGGUAAUACAGAGGUCCCAAGCGUUGUUCGGAUUCACUGGGCGUAAAGGGUGCGUAGGCGGUCGGGUAAGUCUGAUGUGAAAUCUCUGGGCUCAACCCAGAAAUGGCAUUGGAUACUAUUCGGCUUGAGGUCUGGAGGGGGGACUGGAAUUCUCGAUGUAGCAGUGAAAUGCGUAGAUAUCGAGAGGAACACCAGUGGCGAAGGCGAGUCCCUGGACAGGUCCUGACGCUGAGGCACGAAAGCUAGGGGAGCAAACAGGAUUAGAUACCCUGGUAGUCCUAGCCGUAAACGGUGCGUAUUUGCUGUAAAAGGAAUCGACCCCUUUUGUGGCGUAGCAAACGCGUUAAAUACGCCGCCUGGGAAGUACGGUCGCAAGAUUAAAACUC